AGCUAAUUAGCUCAAUGAGCAUUUAUUUUGAAGAUAAAAGGAAAGAGUAGACCUCUAUUAGCUU
RNAcentral lists this transfer RNA (64 nucleotides) under Tettigades dumfriesi. RNAcentral's name for it is "tRNA-Ser". The record is from RNAcentral. Lineage: Eukaryota; Metazoa; Arthropoda; Insecta; Hemiptera; Cicadidae.